Lytechinus variegatus (green sea urchin) is the source of this 916-nucleotide long non-coding RNA. RefSeq lists it as uncharacterized. The record is from RefSeq and is a predicted model, not a curated record. Lineage: Eukaryota; Metazoa; Echinodermata; Echinoidea; Temnopleuroida; Toxopneustidae. The transcript is spliced from 2 exons.
GCCCACUACCAAUACGCAUAAAAUGUUAACAUCCAUCAUCGCCCGCGCACUGAUACCCUUAACAAAAAACAUUCUCGAUUACACUUUCGCUCUAUCAUCACCUCUACCACCAAGGCUAGAAUACCAGAACUCUCUUCAUCCUGAUCAUUCAACGUCACCCACAACCACCACCACCACCACCAUGACUUGGGUUCAAAACACUUUAAUAAUCACCCCUAAUUCUUUUAAACAUUCCUGAUCAUCAUCAGAUUCGAGACUAUCUAACAUCUCUUGUUAACAUACUCAGGAAUGCGCCCAUAUUUUAUUUAGCAGGCCAUAUUACGAUCAUCAGCCUCUCUCCAGCGUCAUAGCAUUUCUCUUAUUAUUCAUGACGUAUAGAGCCAGUGAACCUCCGGUUGACUAGCUAGCCCAUCACCCUCGUUCGAAAGUGCGCUAUUAACAUGCAAUCAUAAUGAUACUAAAUACCAUUACCAAAACAUGACAUUCACCUCCAAAAAUCCCAGGAGCGUGCCUUUACAGGUUCAUAUCUAACACCGAUAGGUCGCUAUACGAGUCGAGGGGGGAGAAUAAUACCCGAAGUCGGGCUAGCUCAGUGCACGUGGGCCGUGACCCAGUAAUGACCCGAAAACAAGCCGUGCACUGGCAGAGAAUUCACACGGUAUUUCCCAUACACGGCGAAGCGAUACGCACGGGCACCGCAUCAAAAGGCAUAAUCAUACCCAUAGCACCCCCGCACGACAGAGCUGUUCUUUUCGAUUAAUUUCCGCACACUGCAUGUGUCUAGCCAGGACUUCUUAUUGUAUACAGCUGAUGUACAACACAGCGGCGCCUCUUUUGAUUGUAUAAAAUUGGAUAUUCAACAAGCGGACUAACCAUGGGUCAGGUGUUAAAACGAGCCAAAGCAAAGCGCAAGAAG